AACACUGAGUUUAUGUGGAAACGCAGGCCUAGAGAGAUCUGACGGCUCAAGAUAGCAAACACGCUGAUCCUGGAGAAAAGGAUGUUUUCCUGAUUCGCAGAACCAUUUUAGAGCAUUUUUCUUACUACACUGGAAAGAGAACCUGUCAUCUCCUUGGAAAAUGAUUAUCUUAUAUGUUCUCAGAUUAUAUGUUCCUAGAAUGAACCUGCUUUCUUCGUCUCAACUACAGGAAAUCUUAACAUCAUUGUGUUUUGUUUUUUUAUAAACAGAGAUUUUAUUCUUUUCAUGUCAA
Myodes glareolus (Bank vole) is the source of this 292-nucleotide non-coding RNA. The record is from RefSeq and is a predicted model, not a curated record. Lineage: Eukaryota; Metazoa; Chordata; Mammalia; Rodentia; Cricetidae.